AUUGAACGCUGGCGGCAGGCUUAACACAUGCAAGUCGAGCGGAGCGAGGGUGCUUGCACCUUAGCUUAGCGGCGGACGGGUGAGUAAUGCUUAGGAAUCUGCCUAUUAGUGGGGGACAACAUUCCGAAAGGAAUGCUAAUACCGCAUACGUCCUACGGGGGAAAGCAGGGGAUCUUCGGACCUUGCGCUAAUAGAUGAGCCUAAGUCGGAUUAGCUAGUUGGUGGGGUAAAGGCCUACCAAGGCGACGAUCUGUAGCGGGUCUGAGAGGAUGAUCCGCCAGACUGGGACUGGGGCACGGCCCAGACUCCUACGGGAGGCAGCAGUGGGGAAUAUUGGACAAUGGGCGGAAGCCUGAUCCAGCCAUGCCGCGUGUGUGAAGAAGGCCUUUUGGUUGUAAAGCACUUUAAGCGAGGAGGAGGCUACUAGUAUUAAUACUACUGGAUAGUGGACGUUACUCGCAGAAUAAGCACCGGCUAACUCUGUGCCAGCCGCCGCCGUAA
Molecule: ribosomal RNA, 501 nt
Filed under: uncultured bacterium
Lineage: Bacteria
Description: partial 16S ribosomal RNA
Rfam family: Bacterial small subunit ribosomal RNA
Source: RNAcentral